AGAGAGAGACAUGCGCGCAUAUCAAUAAGCGGAGGAAAAGAAACUAACAAGGAUUCCCUUAGUAACGGCGAGUGAAGCGGGAAGAGCUCAAAUUUGAAAUCUUCAAGGUUUUACCUUGACGAAUUGUAGUUUAAAGAAGUGUUUUCUGCUGAAGUUUUGGUAAAAGUUCUUUGGAAUAGGACAUCAUAGAGGGUGAGAAUCCCGUAUUUGACCAUUAUUUUCAGCUUUGUGAUACACUUUCAAAGAGUCGGAUUGUUUGGGAAUGCAGUCCAAAAUGGGUGGUAAAUUUCAUCUAAAGCUAAAUAUUGGCGAGAGACCGAUAGCGAACAAGUACCGUGAGGGAAAGAUGAAAAGAACUUUGAAAAGAGAGUUAAACAGUACGUGAAAUUGUCAAAAGGGAAGCGUUUGACACCAGUGUUGUUUUCCUCGAAAAUCAAUUAAAAAUGGCUCGAUUUUGUAUUGUUGAGACCUUAAAAGCUCACUGUACAUUUUUCGUGUCCUUUUUUAAUGCACUUUUCGUUUAACAAGUCAACAUCAGUUUCUUUUGUUGUAAAAGGGUCAUUGGAAGGUGGCUUUCUUUUCGGAGAAAGUGUUUAUAGCCUUUGGCCUCUGCAAUCGGAGAGACUGAGGUCUGCAGCGUAGACUCUUCGGGGUUAGAUACAUUUGUGCUAAGUUAUAGCUUUUUAUAGACAACUUGUUGACUAUAAUUAGUCUUGUAGCUUACUCGCUUAUGCUAUUUUACCUACGCUUAGGAUGUUGAGUCGUAGAGCACGCA
RNAcentral lists this ribosomal RNA (775 nucleotides) under uncultured Neocallimastigales. RNAcentral describes it as "partial large subunit ribosomal RNA". It matches the Rfam family "Eukaryotic large subunit ribosomal RNA", at positions 23 to 611 of the family's 3401-position model. Lineage: Eukaryota; Fungi; Neocallimastigomycota; Neocallimastigomycetes; Neocallimastigales. The record is from RNAcentral.